UGAUGAAUUGACGUUGAACUUGUAACUACUAAUUCAUUAAAUAUGAUGUGUUGUUGUUGUUGUUCGGUGAAAUAACUCGUGCAAUGGCUUAAUCAUUUCAUAUUGACGACAAACACGACACGGCAUGUGUCAAGUUUUUUGAUCAAAGCUAAUAUAUCUAUUUUACAAUGGAUUGAACUAGCAUAUUUUGUAUCGAUAUGCUAUAGAAUGACUCUCAGCAAUGGAUAUCUUGGCUCUUGUAUCGAUGAAGAACAUAGCGAAAUGUGAUUUUUGGUGUGAAUUGCAGGAUCCCGUGAACCAUCGAGUUUUUGAACGCAAGUUGCGCUCGCGACCUUGUGGUCGAGGGCUCAUCUGCUUGGGAAUCAAAAGAUUAUGGUGUGCUUUCAAACUAAUGAUUGAUGGCUCAGAAUGACCCUCCGUGUCUAAAUGAUUAGGUGGGUUUAAUGUCGUUAUUGUUUUGAUUCUUGAAAGAGUCAUGUCCAUGAUAAAUGUGGCUUGUUUGUUAAUCGUGGUUUUACCAUAGUGUUGUGCCUCAUUUUUAAUUGGACGAAAAGGACAAAUUCGAUGAAUGUAGACAUGAUC
This 582-nucleotide ribosomal RNA is filed under the name Thismia aseroe. RNAcentral describes it as "eukaryotic LSU rRNA". The stretch from base 210 to 365 matches the Rfam family "5.8S ribosomal RNA". The record is from RNAcentral. Lineage: Eukaryota; Viridiplantae; Streptophyta; Magnoliopsida; Dioscoreales; Thismiaceae.